UCUGUUGUGUUGAAGACUGGACUGGCGAAGUUAUGAAUUUACUUGCAACUCCGAGUUAUUGCAGUUUGUGAGCGGAGCGGACAACUGAACCGAGGAGCACAGGCAUACAAGUAUGUCCAUCCUAAACUACUGUUAACAUCCUUCUUCAAAGAGUCGACGGAUUCUCUGUUCAUUAUGGCUGAUAUCACUGCAACCCCGGCAGACAUCGAGGGGGAAGAGAGUCUUCCAGACACACCCAGAAUAAUUAUGCUUGAAGCGCAUUUUGGAGGUCACACACUGAUGUUGGACGAGGCGACUGGCUCUCAGGAUCCGCUCUAAUUCAUCCCAAAGGUGUUCUAUUGAGUUGAGGUCAGGACCCUGUGCAGGCCAGUCAAGUUCAUCCAGACCAAACUCUGUUAUC
Long non-coding RNA from Sardina pilchardus (European sardine), 400 nucleotides. RefSeq lists it as uncharacterized. The transcript is spliced from 4 exons. NCBI's taxonomy places the organism in Eukaryota, Metazoa, Chordata, Actinopteri, Clupeiformes, Clupeidae. The record is from RefSeq and is a predicted model, not a curated record.